ACUCAAAGGAAUUGACGGGGGCCCGCACAAGCGGUGGAGCAUGUGGUUCAAUUCGAAGCAACGCGAAGAACCUUACCAGCUCUUGACAUGCCUCGUAUGGUCGCUGGAGACAGCUUCCUUCCCGCAAGGGGCGAGUGCACAGGUGCUGCAUGGCUGUCGUCAGCUCGUGUCGUGAGAUGUUGGGUUAAGUCCCGCAACGAGCGCAACCCUCGCCCUUAGUUGCCAUCAUUUAGUUGGGCACUCUAAGGGGACUGCCGGUGAUAAGCCGGAGGAAGGUGGGGAUGACGUCAAGUCCUCAUGGCCCUUACGGGCUGGGCUACACACGUGCUACAAUGGCGGUGACAGAGGGAUGCAAAGGAGCGAUCCUUCGCAAAUCUCAAAAAGCCGUCUCAGUUCGGAUUGGGGUCUGCAACUCGACCCCAUGAAGUUGGAAUCGCUAGUAAUCGUGGAUCAGCACGCCACGGUGAAUACGUUCCCGGGCCUUGUACACACCGCCCGU
RNAcentral lists this ribosomal RNA (499 nucleotides) under uncultured bacterium. Its description in RNAcentral is "partial 16S ribosomal RNA". It matches the Rfam family "Bacterial small subunit ribosomal RNA", at positions 899 to 1397 of the family's 1533-position model. The record is from RNAcentral.